CUGAGGAACCUCCUGAACACCACCAUUUUCCCUUACGUAAUCAACAAACAAACAAACAUCUCAGAUGCUGCUAUUAUGUCAGUUUGUAAGCCCAAUGGCACAACAUACCAAUGCCGGUGUGAGGAGCAGUUUGGUUGGCCUUGUGGGAUGUGCUACACUUAUGGCACAUGCAGUGAGAUACUUAACAAUACCUGUGGAUGCAUCAAUGCCAUUCCUCCAGAUGGUGUUUACUGCCUGCCACUGCCAGAUAACUUCACUUGUCC
Long non-coding RNA from Monopterus albus (swamp eel), 263 nucleotides. RefSeq lists it as uncharacterized. Lineage: Eukaryota; Metazoa; Chordata; Actinopteri; Synbranchiformes; Synbranchidae. The transcript is spliced from 3 exons. The record is from RefSeq and is a predicted model, not a curated record.